Molecule: non-coding RNA, 103 nt
Filed under: Chryseolinea serpens
Lineage: Bacteria; Pseudomonadati; Bacteroidota; Cytophagia; Cytophagales; Fulvivirgaceae
Description: SAM-I sequence
Rfam family: SAM riboswitch aptamer (S box leader)
About the family: The SAM riboswitch is found upstream of a number of genes which code for proteins involved in methionine or cysteine biosynthesis in Gram-positive bacteria. The SAM riboswitch acts at the level of transcription termination control.
Source: Rfam by way of RNAcentral
GCUUUAUAAAGAAGCGUGGAGAGACAGGCUCUAAGAAACGCUAGCAACCUCCUAAAAAAGAAAGGUGCUAAAUCCUGAUCCGCCAAGGCGGAAAAUAUAAACG